CAGUCGAGCGAAUGGAUUGAGAGCUUGCUCUCAAGAAGUUAGCGGCGGACGGGUGAGUAACACGUGGGUAACCUGCCCAUAAGACUGGGAUAACUCCGGGAAACCGGGGCUAAUACCGGAUAACAUUUUGAACUGCAUGGUUCGAAAUUGAAAGGCGGCUUCGGCUGUCACUUAUGGAUGGACCCGCGUCGCAUUAGCUAGUUGGUGAGGUAACGGCUCACCAAGGCAACGAUGCGUAGCCGACCUGAGAGGGUGAUCGGCCACACUGGGACUGAGACACGGCCCAGACUCCUACGGGAGGCAGCAGUAGGGAAUCUUCCGCAAUGGACGAAAGUCUGACGGAGCAACGCCGCGUGAGUGAUGAAGGCUUUCGGGUCGUAAAACUCUGUUGUUAGGGAAGAACAAGUGCUAGUUGAAUAAGCUGGCACCUUGACGGUACCUAACCAGAAAGCCACGGCUAACUACGUGCCAGCAGCCGCGGUAAUACGUAGGUGGCAAGCGUUAUCCGGAAUUAUUGGGCGUAAAGCGCGCGCAGGUGGUUUCUUAAGUCUGAUGUGAAAGCCCACGGCUCAACCGUGGAGGGUCAUUGGAAACUGGGAGACUUGAGUGCAGAAGAGGAAAGUGGAAUU
Molecule: ribosomal RNA, 629 nt
Filed under: Bacillus thuringiensis
Lineage: Bacteria; Bacillati; Bacillota; Bacilli; Caryophanales; Bacillaceae
Description: bacterial SSU rRNA
Rfam family: Bacterial small subunit ribosomal RNA
Source: RNAcentral